RNAcentral lists this ribosomal RNA (407 nucleotides) under uncultured bacterium. RNAcentral describes it as "partial 16S ribosomal RNA". It matches the Rfam family "Bacterial small subunit ribosomal RNA", at positions 30 to 526 of the family's 1533-position model. The record is from RNAcentral.
AUUGAACGCUGGCGGCAGGCCUAACACAUGCAAGUCGAGCGGAGCGGCGGACGGGUGAGAAAUGACUAGGAAUCUGCCUGGUCGUGGGGGAUAACGUCCGGAAACGGGCGCAAAUACCGCAUACGCUCAGAAGAGCCUCGGUCGGAUUAGCUAGUGGGUGGGGUAAAGGCCUAGCAAGACGACGAUCCGUAACUGGUCUGAGAGGAUGAUCAGUAACACUGGCACUGAGACACGGUCCAGACUCCUACGGGAGGCAGCAGUGGGGAAUAUUGGAAAAUGGGCGAAAGCCUGAGCCAGCCAUGCCGCGUGUGUGAAGAAGGUCUUCGGAUUGUAAAGCACUUUAAGUUGGGAGGCGUUACCAACAGAAUAAGCACCGGCUAACUUCGUGCCAGCAGCCGCGGUAAUAC